UACAGAGGGUGCAAGCGUUGUUCGGAAUUAUUGGGCGUAAAGGGUGCGUAGGCGGUGCGGUAAGUCUCUUGUGAAAUCUCCGGGCUCAACUCGGAGCCUGCAAGGGAAACUGCCGUGCUUGAGUGUGGGAGAGGUGAGUGGAAUUCCCGGUGUAGCGGUGAAAUGCGUAGAUAUCAGGAAGAACACCCGUGGCGAAGGCGGCUCUCUGGGACGGUACUGACGCUGAGACGCGAAAGCGUGGGGAGCGAACAGG
RNAcentral lists this ribosomal RNA (253 nucleotides) under uncultured bacterium. RNAcentral describes it as "partial 16S ribosomal RNA". It matches the Rfam family "Bacterial small subunit ribosomal RNA", at positions 524 to 776 of the family's 1533-position model. The record is from RNAcentral.